CAGCGAUGCAGGCCCCGGGCCGGCCGCGGCGCCGUUGACCUGGGCCGGGAACGCUGGGCACUUACGUCGCACCUUUAGCGGCCGGUCCGGAGCAGCGGCCCCUCGGGCUGCGAGGCGUCGGCAGUGGCCCCUCCCCGGUCCGGGGCUCUUCCCUGGCCGCCCGCGGCCGGGAUCCGCCGCUGCGAGCGCGGGCCGCGGCCACGUCCGUAGCGUCAUCCCCGCAUCCCUCAAGAUCGCUCACUGCAAACACAACCCCGAGAGAUGGCGCAGGUGAGCAGGCUCUCCUUCUUAGCACAUUCAGCAAGAACGCACAAGGAAGCUAAGGACCUCUGUUCGUUGUCCUCUCCAAACAAGGGAGCCAAAGCACGGACUAUAAAACCUGCGAGCCUGCUGAUCGAGGCCCAGCUGCAACUUCAGUUCCCAGGACAGCAAAAUUCUAAAUUAAGCACUUCAUUUUCUGUUUUAAAGUUCAAAUCUGUUAUACAACAUGUAUGAUUUAUCCAUGCUCUGGGAGUCUUCAAUAACACUUCGUGUUUGUACAGAGGGAUUAGUUUUAGUUACUGUGUUCUAUUUGCUGUGCUGGAAAGCAGCUUUCAGCCUUCCCCAGAAGCUCUAGAAAUCUAUAUUUCUCUCUAUAUUUUUCACUAGCUUUGCUUUGCUCCAAAGAGAGGAGGUCAUUUGGGUACCAGUUUAAUUCAGUUCAAUGAGUAUUUAGAGAGGAUCCAGUUGGGCCUCUACUGUGGGAGAUAAAGUGGACGUGUAAGACACAACCCCGGAGUUCCCGUCAUGGCGCAGCAGUUAACGAACCCGACUAGUAUCCGUGAGGACUCGGGUUCGACCCCUAGCCUUGCUCAGUGGGCUAAGGAUCUCACACGCUCUGAUCCCCAUU
Non-coding RNA from Sus scrofa (pig), 889 nucleotides. The record is from RefSeq and is a predicted model, not a curated record. NCBI's taxonomy places the organism in Eukaryota, Metazoa, Chordata, Mammalia, Artiodactyla, Suidae.